CCACUGUGACGUAACACGUCAGAAAACGUCAUAGACACCGCCCACUCGGCGAACUGUCUCCGAGCGGAGCCGGGCUGGAUUGGAUUGGACCCCUGGGCGGGAAAGGACGGACGGGUUAAGUAGCCAAUCACCAAUUGCGCUCCAGCCAGAGGGGCGAUGUUCUUGGGGAGCCUGGGGAUCUGGAAGAAGUUCAGUGUGAGGACGAGUGUUAGGAAAUAAGGCUGAAGACAGAGGCAACCCUGGAGGAUCUUCUAACCCAUGUCAAGCAGUUGAGAAUUUAUGGAGUGAAAUAGCAAGCCAUUGAAGAGUUUCAAGCUUUCAUCCAGCUUUUAAGGGAAACUAAUAUCUCAUGAAAUUGUGAGGGCCUGGAAUCUUCAAAGAGCCAAGGAUUCUGCCAGACUGAGCAAUAGACUUGAUGAGCAUUCUCCACUUAAGAUCUGAACUAUGAGAAGUCGAAUCAAAGCAGUUCUUUUGUAAUUCCAAACAGCCAUUUAGACAUAUGAAGAAAUGAAAGUAAAGCAGUUCUAAAGACAAGGAAGAGGGUCAAUGAAAGGUGCUCCCAAUGCAAUCACAAAGAUCUUUAAAAGUGGAAGAAGGUGGGAGAGGUCAGAGUGAUACGAAGAGAACUCAGUCUACCACUGCUGGCUUUGAAGAUGGAAGAAUGGGGCUAUGAGCCCUGGAUUGCGGGCAGCCUGCAGAAGCUGGGGCAGAGAUUCCACACAGGCACCUCUAGAAAAUAAUGCAGCCAGCCAAUCCUUAGACUUUAUCCCAGUGAGAGUCAAGUUGGACUUCUGACCUACAAAAGAGUAAAUAUCUAAAUUAUCUGUGGCAACAACUUGGUGGGGUCAACUCGAAUGUUUUUGUCGGCUGUUCUUGAAGACUUCUGGGUCUCUACAACCACAUUCUUUGGCUGGUGCCAGUGUUUAAGCACUCUGAAACUGCAUAGCAGCAUGUUUGAAGGUGGCCUGUCAAAUUUGGGAAACUGACGGUGUGACUGAGCUAGUCACAGGGGUCUUCACAGAAAAGGCAGUCGGGGUCCUGGUCAACUGGAGAUUCCAUCUGAAUGAGUGAAGUCAUUAAGACUAGAGCUCCAGGCUUCUUCAUCCAACUCCAAGGGUUCCCAGCAACAUGUGAAGUCCUCUAUCUGUCACUAAGAAGCCGUGAGCUAGCAGACAGGAAAACAAAUUUGUCUUAAAUACCCCAAGUUUAUAGGCUUCUCACCCCUCGGCAGCUGCAACUGGCAAAUCUAGUUUACAGAAAUGGGAGAUGAGGGAGAUGUGCACGUUUUUCACUGUCGGAACUUGAGAGGCAGUGAUGGAAUACUUACGAAGUAGCAGCUCUCGGCAGAUGAGAAGAAUACACCUUGGCAGCUGCUGGAUCAAGGCAAAUGAGAGACCCAUGGAGCUCACUAAAUCCAACUCUACAGCUUGGAGCUAAGCCUAACUUAGCCAAGUCUAAACCAGUUUGACCUCAGCCAAUUCACAGAUGUUUGAGCCAGAAGUAAGGUGCUUGUUGCUGGAAGCCAGUUAAAUUUUGAGAUCUUUUUGAAAAAUAUAUUGUCAUUGCAGACAUAGAUGCACAUAGUUUUCCACACUGUGGGAAGUCAAAUUAAGCAUGCUUAGACUUUUAAAGCAGAAGCCCAUUAUUAGUGGGGUGGCAAAAAUGUUACAAGUGACAUAGUCCUCCAAUUUCCUUCUUCUAGCCCUCUGCCUAAGAACUAGUGUACUUCAUUUUGAAGUGGAGCCCUAACGGGAGUGUUCAUCUUCUGUCAACAGGGUUAAGCCUCUUGACGCUUACUGGGCACUCACAGUUGUUAGUUCCCUGGAAGACAUGAAAGAGCUUGAUUGGUUCUGUAGUCGUCAGUCAAUAACCAACUGUAACAUACCUACACUUCCAACAAAAUCUUGAUUUGGGAAAUUGAGUGUCUGCUUAUAGUUAAUCCUCUAUUUUUUGACACCUAGUAGGAAAAACAUUUUCAAAAGAGCCAUGACCUGACUCAGUUAAUAUGCAAGGAAAAAUAAGCAGUUCCAAACUUGUCAGUUUAUCCAUCAUCCCUUAUCCAAAAUCCUUCAACUCUCUUGGAAUUAUUUUGUUCUUCAUACUUGCCCAACAAAUAUCUUACUCUUGUCUUGGACUUUAUUUUAUAGUUAUCUCACAUAAGCUCCUUGUGGCUAAGGGCACAUAUUUGGAAUCAGACUACCCUAGUUCAACUCUUGGGUCUACCAUUUAUUAGCUUGUAUUACUUUGGGAAAGAUAAUUAAAUUCUCCAGAUCUAAUUUCCCCCAUUAUAAGAUAAUAAUAGUUAUUACCUGCUAGGAUUGUCUUGAGAAGUAAAUUAGAUAAUUCAUAAGAACCAUUUAACACAGUGCCAGCCACAUAAUGAAGGCAUAGUAAGGGAAAGUUAUUAUGCUGUUGAUAAUACUUGUCUAGGCAGGGGUCUCAUAUUUUUCCCUGUAUCCAUUACUGUACAAUUCAUCUGUCCCAUGACAUUCUAAGAUUGUUUUAGAGUGAGUUGCUUCAGAGUUGAAUAAUUCUAAUAAUAUAUUCUCAUGUUUGGAAACAACUUGGAAUUCCAUUUAGUGUAGACAUCAACAAUGAAAUCGCUAGAGGAUGAGUAAUUUCUACAAUUUUUAUUCAUUAUAGAGAGACCAAUGGGUAUAAUGGUGAAAAGAACUGAGUAGAAGGUCAGGAGGUCAAAGAGACUGAGUUUAAACCCUCACUCUGCUGAGUACUGUUAAUAAUGGUAUGAUCUUAAGAGAACUAAUCUUUAGUUUUUCCCACCUUAAAAACAGAGUUGUCAUGAGUAUUUAAUAAUAGAGGGUAGUAUGUAAACUUCCUGGCAUAUAGCAACUGCUCAACAAAUAGAAGUUAUAGUUUUUUCUUAACUUGCCAAAGAGCCAAGGGAAAAAUGAAGAUUUUGUAGCCAAAGCCAUUUAUCUUUCUCUGUUAUGUGCCUAUCUGUUCCAGAAACAGAAUCAAUUCCUUGAACCUCAUCAAAGGAAGGAUUUGAACAUUUAAAAAAAAAUCAAUCUCUUUGGGUUUGUUAUUGCUUGUUUCCCAUACCUCAGAGACACAAAUACAAACCUUUAUAAUGUCAUCAGGAAGAAGAGGAGUCAAACACUCCUUAACUCAAUAAUUGCAAUGUUAUUAUUUUGCAAGGAAUAGAGUCAAAAUUCCAUUCACAUGAGGACUGUAACUUCUUCAUUACUCCUUGAGGCACGAUGUCCUUGAUUUUAAGUAGCUCAUGUAGAAACUAGUUGUAAGUCUUUAGCGGAGAGACUGUACUGGAAUUAUAGGAUCUACUUAGGGGUUUGAGCUUCCCCACCCACUUAGAGUGACAGUUCACACCUAUAAAAACACAAAAGUCCGGGGGUUUAUUAAACAUUAGGAGAUCCAAAGAGCCAAGACUUCUACCUGUAAAAGUGGUGCUUCCUAAGCAGAAGAAAUGGAAUUUCUCAGAGAAUACAGCUUGGCUUGACCAAUGGACUGUACAAGGAAGAUUAGGAGGUAAUUACUGGGGUAAAAGAGAAAUGGUUGCAUCUUUCUGGAACACUCUAAUAAAACUGAAAGUUUUUCCUGAUUUCUUCUUUUAUUUGAUACAAGGGUCAAAUUUGAUACAUAAAGUCAUAAUGUCCCACAUGUACUUCUCAGGAACAUCUGUUUAGUCCUACUACAAAACUUGGGGAACAUGGUUUCCUAAUGUGGUACCAGUCGUCUCUUCAUGGAUGACUUCAGGAAGAAAUUCUGACUGGCAGACUCCACAAGUAUAAGACAAUAAGAGGCCAAUUUCUUUAUUCUUCUCCUCUUCUCCGCUUGUCCCCCCACCUCAUUAGCUUUGGGAGAAUAACACAGUGUGGAACAGAAAAAUAAGGAGCCUUGUUGUACUUCAUUGGCCUCAAGAGGUCUCAUCUAUUAAAUAGAUCCAUUAUGUUACUCUCAGAGAAAAUUAUAGUCAAAAAUAUUUCAAGUUUUAGGGCAGUACUGAAUAUAUAAGGGCUCUGUUACUUAAUCUCUGUGCUCUUAUCUUGGGGCGGCAAAGCUCAGUAGGGCUAUCUUGAAAGUAGCCUGAAAUCAAUUGGUCAGAUGAAAUCAAUUGGUCAGGAGGAGCCCAUCAGGAGGAUCAAGGACAUGGGUGACACAGUGAGUGUAAUUAUUAGUCAGGAUAGGUUAGGUUAGGCAUUAGUGGCAAAUUAUCUCCAAAUCUCAGUGGCUUGGUACAAUAAAGGCUUAUUGCUUAUUCAUGCAGCAUGUCUACUGCAGGUCCACAAGGGCUCUGUUCCACUCACAGAUCCAGAUUGUAACAUUCUUUGCCAUCUCAUAGCUACAUGAUCUAAACAUCAGCAGAAGGAAAGUGUCUUGGGUCAGGCUACCUGGAAAACAGAUCAAGAUAAAGAUUUCUGUGCAAAAAGGUUAUUGGGGAGGGAACUCUAAUUGAUAUCUGCCAGGGAUAGUGCAAGAAUGGUUGAGCAGACAAUUGUUGAACUACUUACUAUGUAUGUAGUAACAACAAAGGUCUUGACCAACCCAAAAGGGAGUCCUGGAGCUCAAAUGGUUCUUCACAGUUCUCUCACCUUAAGGCAAGGGACCUGGGCCUUUAUUAUCCCUUAUCAACCAGUCAUUUGAUUAGCUUGACCCCAGAGAGAGGUUAUGACCUUGAGUAAAGUGGCUCUCCUCUACUGAGGAUAAUUCCAGGAGAGCAACUCAGCUGAGAGCUGUCAGCAAUGGGAGGAAUCAGAGUCUCAGUCCUGAAGAGCAGAUCUGGGCAGCAUAUCAUAGCAUCCACCACAAGGGGGAAAGUGCGUGCACUUUUCAUUGCCUCCACCUGGGAGUGACAUAUGCCAUUUUUUGCUGUCAUUUCAAUGACCAAAAGGAGUCACAUGAUUCUAAUUGGAAGGAACCUGGG
RNAcentral lists this long non-coding RNA (4903 nucleotides) under Homo sapiens (human). RNAcentral's name for it is "HSALNT0142440". Lineage: Eukaryota; Metazoa; Chordata; Mammalia; Primates; Hominidae. The record is from RNAcentral.